GGGUACGUAGCUCAGUAGGUAGAGCAUCGGGCUUUUAACCUGAUGGCCGCAGGUUCAAAUCCUGCCGUACCUA
Molecule: transfer RNA, 73 nt
Filed under: Trebouxia aggregata
Lineage: Eukaryota; Viridiplantae; Chlorophyta; Trebouxiophyceae; Trebouxiales; Trebouxiaceae
Also listed under: 1 other name
Description: tRNA-Lys
Rfam family: tRNA
About the family: Transfer RNA (tRNA) molecules are approximately 80 nucleotides in length.
Source: RNAcentral